Molecule: non-coding RNA, 154 nt
Organism: Amborella trichopoda
Lineage: Eukaryota; Viridiplantae; Streptophyta; Magnoliopsida; Amborellales; Amborellaceae
Source: Rfam
CCCACACCCAUGUGAGUAGGACCCCAAAGGAUCACCAUUAAAUUUGGCACAGAUCUCUAGAAAAGUUAUCACAUGGGUGUGGGACUUGACUUUUCUAGAGAUCUGUGCCAAAUUUGAUGGUGAUCAUUUGGGGUCCUACUCCCAUGGGUGUGGG